GCGGGUUUAUAAAGCGGGAGGCGGGCGCGGAGUGUUCUCUUUUGCGGCGCCUCUUCGUGGUCCGGUCUGUUCGCCUGGGAUCCUGCCGUCAUUGUCAGCGCCGCCAUGAAGACCGCUCUGCUCUUCUCUCCGCUCCUCUGCCUGCUCUUCCUGGGACGGGCCUGCUUGGCCGGCGACGCAGAUAUCGAGGAGGACGAGGGCGUCCUGGUGCUCAAGGCGGCCAACUUCGAGCGGGCGUUGGAGCAGCACCCGAACAUCCUGGUGGAGUUCUAUGCACCCUGGUGUGGUCACUGUAAAGCUCUGGCCCCAGAGUAUGUGAAGGCGGCAGCAAAAUUGAAAUCUGACAACUCAGAAAUCCGGCUGGCCAAGGUGGAUGCAACAGAAGAAUCAGAGCUUGCCCAACAGUUUGGUGUUCGAGGCUACCCUACUAUCAAAUUCUUCAAGAAUGGCGAUAAAUCAUCCCCUAAAGAAUACACAGCUGGCAGGGAAGCAGAUGACAUUGUCAACUGGUUGAAGAAACGCACAGGCCCAGCAGCCACUGCCCUGGCAGAUGUAGCUGCUGCUGAGAAACUGGUGGAAUCCAGUGAAGUUGCUGUGAUCGGAUUCUUCAAGGAUGCAGAAUCUGAUGCUGCCAAGCAGUUCUUGUUGGCAGCAGAGUCCAUUGAUGACAUUCCUUUUGGGAUCUCUUCCAACAGCGAUGUCUUUGCCAAAUACCAGCUCAGCAAAGAUGGAGUUGCCCUUUUUAAGAAGUUUGAUGAAGGACGUAACAACUAUGAUGGGGAGAUAACAAAAGAGAAUCUGUUGAACUUCAUCAAAUCAAACCAGCUGCCCUUGGUGAUUGAAUUCACUGAACAGACGGCACCCAAAAUCUUUGGAGGAGAGAUCAAGACCCACAUCCUGUUGUUCCUGCCCAAGAGUGUUACAGACUACCAGGGAAAACUGGAUAACUUCAAAAAAGCAGCAGAGAGCUUCAAAGGGAAGAUCUUGUUCAUCUUCAUAGACAGUGACCACGGCGAUAACCAGAGGAUCUUGGAGUUCUUUGGCCUCAAGAAAGAGGAGUGCCCUGCCAUCCGCCUCAUUACCCUGGAGGAGGAAAUGACCAAGUACAAGCCGGAUUCAGAAGAGCUGACUCCAGAAAACAUCAGGGACUUCUGCAAUAAGUUCUUGGAGGGCAAAGUUAAGCCCCAUCUGAUGAGCCAAGAUGUUUCUGAUGACUGGGACAAACAACCUGUCAAAGUUCUGGUUGGGAAAAACUUCGAAGAAGUGGCCUUUGAUGAGAAUAAGAACGUGUUUGUUGAAUUCUAUGCUCCCUGGUGCGGCCACUGCAAGCAGCUGGCUCCCAUCUGGGAUAAACUAGGCGAGACGUACAAAGACCAUGAAAACAUCAUCAUUGCCAAAAUGGACUCCACAGCCAAUGAAGUGGAGGCCGUGAAAGUCCACAGCUUCCCUACCCUCAAGUUUUUCCCCGCAGGCCCUGGCAGAACGGUUGUAGACUACAAUGGCGAGAGAACGCUGGAAGGUUUUAAGAAGUUCCUGGAAAGCGGCGGAAAGGAUGGUGGUGUAGAUGAAGAUCGUUGACCCUACUAUCUGUAGUUCUCAAGAGAUGACCCUACACUGAAUUGGCUCUUUCUCCAGCACCCAGCACCAGGAUCUGGAAGAUCUAGAGGAUGCUGAAGAGCCAGAUGCAGAAGAAGACGAUGAUGAUGCAAACACUGUAAAAGAUGAACUGUAAAGACAAGUCCAAUCUGCAUAUCCCCAGACACUACACUGUGGCUGCCACUUCAUGCAGUUAAGCAAGUCCAGAACCAACUUGAACCAGAAGGCAGAUGCUGUCUGAGAGUACAGGGAAUGGUCUAAAGUAACCCUUCAUCCUAACUUGUCUGUCAACUGAUUCCUCUACUUAAUUUUUAUUAUUAUUAUUUUCAGUUUGGAAGAGGGAUCUGCCUAGGUAGCCAGCCCUGCUGGGUCUUCUCUUUCCCCCCUCCUUUACACACUGUGAUGUACAUUUUCUUUUCCUAGAGUGUUCUGUGAUCUGGGUAGAAGCAGAUUGAAACGGCAACAUGUCCCAUUGCCUAACUCACUUUGGAGCCUCACCAGUAAUGCCGCCUUAAAACUUACUCACACUUGUCCAAAUGUCAUAAGCUGCUGUUGGCCCAGCAGGGUCUUGGAUACUGUCUCGGCUGUUUUUCAAUUCCUAUUUCUUUUUUGGGCUGCUCCGGUGUGGAGGAACCUACUGGGCUAACCACGGUGGUGGCAGUGGAAAGGGAAAUGAGCAGGUCCUCUUAACUCAUUGCAUGGUCUUGCUUCCCUUUUAUGCUGAACAGUAUAUGUAUCUCUCUCUUCCAAAGAUUAGGAUGGCAUAAAGACUGUCCUUGAGGGGGAAAGGACCCAAUUACUCCUGAGGCAAAACCUUAACUGGUGUUGCCACCUUGCCCCCUGAACAAACAAUACGACUUGCUCUUUACGCAUUUGCUUUGUGAAUGGGUCUCCCAGGCAUUUACAGAGCUGUUUGGGAAGGGGCCUACCAGAAUGAAACAAAAAGGACACUCAAUAACUAGUUUUUUUUUGUGGGGGUACUUGAGAGCCAAGGAGUGAUGGGAGGACAAGAAUGUAUGUUGACAGAAUUGGAAUUAGUUUGGAGCGUCUAUGAUGCUAAAAGGAAUGGAACUCAUUGGCCAAAUAAAAGUUGAUUUUAAUACUA
RNA transcript from Podarcis raffonei (Aeolian wall lizard), 2701 nucleotides. It is a transcript of the gene named prolyl 4-hydroxylase subunit beta, with no coding region annotated. The transcript has 12 exons. The record is from RefSeq and is a predicted model, not a curated record. Lineage: Eukaryota; Metazoa; Chordata; Lepidosauria; Squamata; Lacertidae.